AAGUAGGGCGGGACACGUGAUAUCCUGUUUGAAGAUGGGGGGACCAUCCUCCAAGGCUAAAUACUCCUGAUUGACCGAUAGUGAACCAGUACUGUGAAGGAAAGGCGAAAAGAACCCCGGUGAGGGGAGUGAAAUAGAACCUGAAACCUUGUACGUACAAGCAGUGGGAGCCCUUUAAGGGUGACUGCGUACCUUUUGUAUAAUGGGUCAGCGACUUAUAUUUUGUAGCGAGGUUAACCGAAUAGGGGAGCCGAAGGGAAACCGAGUCUUAACUGGGCGAAUAGUUGCAAGGUAUAGACCCGAAACCCGGUGAUCUAGCCAUGGGCAGGUUGAAGGUUGGGUAACACUAACUGGAGGACCGAACCGACUAAUGUUGAAAAAUUAGCGGAUGACUUGUGGCUGGGGGUGAAAGGCCAAUCAAACCGGGAGAUAGCUGGUUCUCCCCGAAAUCUAUUUAGGUAGAGCCUUGAGCGGACACCUUCGGGGGUAGAGCACUGUUUCGGCUAGGGGGCCAUCCCGGCUUACCAACCCGAUGCAAACUACGAAUACCGAAGAGUGAUACUCAGGAGACACACGGCGGGUGCUAACGUCCGUCGUGGAGAGGGAAACAACCCAGACCGCCAGCUAAGGUCCCAAAGUCUAUAUUAAGUGGGAAACGAAGUGGGAAGGCUUAGACAGCUAGGAUGUUGGCUUAGAAGCAGCCAUCAUUUAAAGAAAGCGUAAUAGCUCACUAGUCGAGUCGGCCUGCGCGGAAGAUGUAACGGGGCUCAAAUAUAGCACCGAAGCUGCGGCAUCAGACGUAAGUCUGUUGGGUAGGGGAGCGUUGUGUAAGCGGAUGAAGGUGGUUCGAGAGGGCUGCUGGACGUAUCACAAGUGCGAAUGCUGACAUAAGUAACGAUAAAACGGGUGAAAAACCCGUUCGCCGGAAGACCAAGGGUUCCUGUCCAACGUUAAUCGGGGCAGGGUGAGUCGGCCCCUAAGGCGAGGCUGAAAAGCGUAGUCGAUGGGAAACGGGUUAAUAUUCCCGUACUUGGAUAAACUGCGAUGUGGGGACGGAGCAGGUUAGGUUAGCGUGCUGUUGGAUAUGCACGUUUAAGUUAGUAGGUGGGAAGUUUAGGCAAAUCCGGACUUCCUUAACACUGAGAGAUGAUGACGAGGCUCUACGGAGCUGAAGUAACUGAUACCACACUUCCAGGAAAAGCCACUAAGCUUCAGGUUUAUCUAAACCGUACUGAAAACCGACACAGGUGGUCAGGUAGAGAAUACUCAGGCGCUUGAGAGAACUCGGGUGAAGGAACUAGGCAAAAUAGCACCGUAACUUCGGGAGAAGGUGCGCCGGCGUAGAUUGUAAGGGUUUACCCCUGAAGGUUGAACCGGUCGAAGAUACCAGCUGGCUGCAACUGUUUAUUAAAAACACAGCACUCUGCAAACACGAAAGUGGACGUAUAGGGUGUGAUGCCUGCCCGGUGCUGGAAGGUUAAUUGAUGGUGUAAUCGAAAGAGAAGCUCCUGAUCGAAGCCCCAGUAAACGGCGGCCGUAACUAUAACGGUCCUAAGGUAGCGAAAUUCCUUGUCGGGUAAGUUCCGACCUGCACGAAUGGCAUAAUGAUGGCCAGGCUGUCUCCACCCGAGACUCAGUGAAAUUGAAAUCGCCGUGAAGAUGCGGUGUACCCGCGGCUAGACGGAAAGACCCCGUGAACCUUUACUAUAGCUUGACACUGAACAUUGAAUUUUGAUGUGUAGGAUAGGUGGGAGACUUUGAAGAUGAUACGCCAGUAUUGUUGGAGUCGUCCUUGAAAUACCACCCUUUAACGUUUGAUGUUCUAACGAAGAUUACGAAACGUGGUCUCGGACAGUGUCUGGUGGGUAGUUUGACUGGGGCGGUCUCCUCCCAAAGAGUAACGGAGGAGCACGAAGGUUUGCUAAUGACGGUCGGACAUCGUCAGGUUAGUGCAAUGGUAUAAGCAAGCUUAACUGCGAGACAGACAAGUCGAGCAGGUACGAAAGUAGGUCAUAGUGAUCCGGUGGUUCUG
RNAcentral lists this ribosomal RNA (2032 nucleotides) under metagenome. RNAcentral's name for it is "bacterial LSU rRNA". It matches the Rfam family "Bacterial large subunit ribosomal RNA", at positions 410 to 2431 of the family's 2925-position model. The record is from RNAcentral.